Triticum aestivum (bread wheat) is the source of this 138-nucleotide non-coding RNA. The record is from Rfam. Lineage: Eukaryota; Viridiplantae; Streptophyta; Magnoliopsida; Poales; Poaceae.
UUUGUACUUCCUCCGUCCGGAAAUACUUGUCAUCAAAAUGAAUAAAAGGGGAUGUAUCUAGAUGUAUUUUAGUUCUAGAUACAACAUCCCUUUUUGUUCAUUUUGACGACAAGUAUUUUCGGACGGAGGGAGUACUAU